This 74-nucleotide transfer RNA is filed under the name Promethearchaeota archaeon. RNAcentral's name for it is "Candidatus Lokiarchaeota archaeon tRNA-Pro". It matches the Rfam family "tRNA". Rfam says of the family: Transfer RNA (tRNA) molecules are approximately 80 nucleotides in length. Their secondary structure includes four short double-helical elements and three loops (D, anti-codon, and T loops). Further hydrogen bonds mediate the characteristic L-shaped molecular structure. tRNAs have two regions of fundamental functional importance: the anti-codon, which is responsible for specific mRNA codon recognition, and the 3' end, to which the tRNAs corresponding amino acid is attached (by aminoacyl-tRNA synthetases). tRNAs cope with the degeneracy of the genetic code in two manners: having more than one tRNA (with a specific anti-codon) for a particular amino acid; and 'wobble' base-pairing, i.e. permitting non-standard base-pairing at the 3rd anti-codon position. The record is from RNAcentral. Lineage: Archaea; Promethearchaeati; Promethearchaeota.
GGGGAGGUAGUCUAGCUUGGUAUGAUUCUCGGUUCGGAUCCGAGAGGCCAGGGGUUCGAAUCCCCUCUUCCCCA